Molecule: ribosomal RNA, 222 nt
Filed under: uncultured bacterium
Lineage: Bacteria
Description: partial 16S ribosomal RNA
Rfam family: Bacterial small subunit ribosomal RNA
Source: RNAcentral
UACGUAGAAGACUAGUGUUAUUCAUCUUUAAUAGGUUUAAAGGGUACCUAGACGGUAUAAUUAGUCUUUAACAGGAAACGGUUAUACUAGAGUUAUAUAUGAGGAGGUGAGUAUUUGUGGAGUAGAGUUGAAAUUCUUUGAUACCAUGAAGACUGGUAAAGGCGAAAGCAACCUUUUAUCUAAUAACUGACGUUGAGGGACGAAGGCUCGGGUCGCAACAGG